This 394-nucleotide long non-coding RNA is filed under the name Vigna radiata. Its description in RNAcentral is "long non-coding RNA (VRAD_LNC012872)". The record is from RNAcentral. Lineage: Eukaryota; Viridiplantae; Streptophyta; Magnoliopsida; Fabales; Fabaceae.
ACAAGUCACAUGAAAUAAAAUUGCCAUUCAUCUCAAACAAUCAACAUCUUUACAUGUAAAUGUCAUCAAAAGGACUUUUCAAGGCUUGUAAUGAGGUUGGGCUAACAAGAAAAUUUGGUUUUUCUAGAAUGCAAAAUCCUUGAGUCAAGAGAACUAUCAAAAUAUUCAACAAUUAAGCACAACUCUCUCACCAAAAUUUCGCAUUCCCAACUUCUUCCCUUUUCUUUUCUUUUUCAUUGAGCUCAUCUUCAUGCUUUUCUUCUUUUCUUUUCUUUUUUUUUUCAUAAAUGUUUCUUUUUUCACAACAAUUGAGCUCAAUGCCUUUUACUUGCUUUUUCAGUUUUUCCCCGUACAACCCCAAACUUGAACCUUUUCAUCACAUAUAAUUUAAGCU